This 253-nucleotide ribosomal RNA is filed under the name uncultured bacterium. Its description in RNAcentral is "partial 16S ribosomal RNA". It matches the Rfam family "Bacterial small subunit ribosomal RNA", at positions 524 to 776 of the family's 1533-position model. The record is from RNAcentral.
UACAGAGGGGGCAAGCGUUGUUCGGAAUUACUGGGCGUAAAGGGCGCGUAGGCGGCCUGCUAAGUCGAACGUGAAAUCCCUGGGCUCAACCCAGGAACUGCGUCCGAUACUGGUUGGCUUGAAUCCGGGAGAGGGAUGUGGAAUUCCAGGUGUAGCGGUGAAAUGCGUAGAUAUCAGGAGGAACACCGAUGGCGAAGGCAGGUCUCUGGGCUGACACUGACGCUCAUGCACGAAAGCGUGGGGAGCAAACAGG